UAAAGGUGUGUACUAAAGGAUUCCUCUGAA
RNAcentral lists this non-coding RNA (30 nucleotides) under Mus musculus (house mouse). Lineage: Eukaryota; Metazoa; Chordata; Mammalia; Rodentia; Muridae. The record is from RNAcentral.